This 303-nucleotide ribosomal RNA is filed under the name uncultured bacterium. Its description in RNAcentral is "partial 16S ribosomal RNA". It matches the Rfam family "Bacterial small subunit ribosomal RNA", at positions 510 to 808 of the family's 1533-position model. The record is from RNAcentral.
AGCAGUAGCGCGGUAAUACGUAGGGUGCGAGCGUUAAUCGGAAUUACUGGGCGUAAAGCGUGCGCAGGCGGUUUCGUAAGACAGGCGUGAAAUCCCCGGGCUCAACCUGGGAAUGGCGCUUGUGACUGCAAAGCUAGAGUGCGGCAGAGGGGGAUGGAAUUCCGCGUGUAGCAGUGAAAUGCGUAGAUAUGCGUAGGAACACCGAUGGCGAAGGCAAUCCCCUGGGCCAAUACUGACGCUCAUGCACGAAAGCGUGGGGAGCAAACAGGAUUAGAUACCCCGGUAGUCCCUGUCUCUUAUACC